UUUCGCGGUGAUCUAAGUUCUAAACAAUGGCUGCAGUCACUGAGGGCACCUACUUGUUCAGCCAGAUGCCAACACACGCAGAUUCUGCGACACACACCCUCGGAGAAGCAAGAUUCGGUUCUCUGUGGGCAGCUCGGGUCUCCACCCCUAUGGUACCAGGUAUCCCGGCGCUAAGACGACGGAUUUCAAGUAAAUCACAGCACUGCAACUGCAAGGACAACCACACAGAGUCUGGGUUCCUGCCAACGCCACCGCUCCCUGUGCCAACCACUCUCUGAACUUUGCAGAGUUCAGAAUUGGAAGUUUCUUCGUAUUUUUUUUUCUCUUUUGUCAAAAUAUCCAUUGAUGUCAUUAAAACGCGUUAACCCAU
Non-coding RNA from Microcebus murinus (gray mouse lemur), 370 nucleotides. The record is from RefSeq and is a predicted model, not a curated record. NCBI's taxonomy places the organism in Eukaryota, Metazoa, Chordata, Mammalia, Primates, Cheirogaleidae.